GAGGGUAUAGCUCAGUGGUAGAGCAUAUGCUUAACAUGCACAAGGUUCUGGGUUGAAUCCCCAGUACUUCCA
This 72-nucleotide transfer RNA is filed under the name Camelus bactrianus (Bactrian camel). It matches the Rfam family "tRNA". Rfam says of the family: Transfer RNA (tRNA) molecules are approximately 80 nucleotides in length. Their secondary structure includes four short double-helical elements and three loops (D, anti-codon, and T loops). RNAcentral also lists the same sequence under 2 other names. The record is from Rfam by way of RNAcentral. Lineage: Eukaryota; Metazoa; Chordata; Mammalia; Artiodactyla; Camelidae.